ACGAACGCUGGCGGCGUGCCUAAUACAUGCAAGUUGAGCGCUGAAGGUUGGUACUUGUACCGACUGGAUGAGCAGCGAACGGGUGAGUAACGCGUGGGGAAUCUGCCUUUGAGCGGGGGACAACAUUUGGAAACGAAUGCUAAUACCGCAUAAAAACUUUAAACACAAGUUUUAAGUUUGAAAGAUGCAAUUGCAUCACUCAAAGAUGAUCCCGCGUUGUAUUAGCUAGUUGGUGAGGUAAAGGCUCACCAAGGCGAUGAUACAUAGCCGACCUGAGAGGGUGAUCGGCCACAUUGGGACUGAGACACGGCCCAAACUCCUACGGGAGGCAGCAGUAGGGAAUCUUCGGCAAUGGACGAAAGUCUGACCGAGCAACGCCGCGUGAGUGAAGAAGGGUUUCGGAUCGUAAAACUCUGUUGGUAGAGAAGAACGUUGGUGAGAGUGGAAAGCUCAUCAAGUGACGGUAACUACCCAGAAAGGGACGGCUAACUACGUG
RNAcentral lists this ribosomal RNA (496 nucleotides) under uncultured bacterium. RNAcentral describes it as "partial 16S ribosomal RNA". It matches the Rfam family "Bacterial small subunit ribosomal RNA", at positions 29 to 507 of the family's 1533-position model. The record is from RNAcentral.